This 453-nucleotide long non-coding RNA is filed under the name Homo sapiens (human). RNAcentral describes it as "novel transcript". The record is from RNAcentral. Lineage: Eukaryota; Metazoa; Chordata; Mammalia; Primates; Hominidae.
ACUGUGCUCAGCAUCAGAAAAUGGGAUGACAAUGAACAGAGUAACAGGACUAUAUUUCUGAAAAAGGAUGAACUUACUGGAAACAGGAUUGCGUGCCUGAAAUAUAUCCAAAUGGAUAUAAAUGUCAACUCAGUUCUGGGCUGGAGAUAUAGAUUUGGAAUGCACCAACAAUGCAGAUGGUAAUCCUGGCAUGCGAGUAGGGCUCAAGCACCUCUUACUGCCUCCUCACUCUGGAACCAAAUGCCUUACUUGACAGGAUCACAGAAUGUGAAUUUUGAACAGAUCUGAAAAGUUAUUAAGUUCAACUCCACAGAGGUUCCUAGGAGAAUGUUAACAGUCCAGACCUUUUUCACUACAUCAACCACGGAUGAUUGGCAUAUAAAAUCCUACUUAACCUUUACAUAACUGCAAUACCAGGAAACAAAUAUGUCAAUAAAAGGAAACAUCAUUCAA